GUUAAAAAGCUCGUAGUUGGAUUUCGGAGUGGGCCAGUUGGUCCGCCGCAAGGUGUGUUACUGACUGGUUUGCUCUUCUUCGCAAAGACUGCGUGUGCUCUUCAGUGAGUGUGCGUAGGAUUUACGACGUUUACUUUGAAAAAAUUAGGGUGUUCAAAGCAGGCUAUUGCUUGAAUACAUGAGCAUGGAAUAAUGGAAUAGGACUUUGGUCCCAUUUUGUUGGUUUCUAGGGCCGAAGUAAUGAUUAAGAGGGACAAUGGGGGCAUCCGUAUUUCGUUGUCAGAGGUGAAAUUCUUGGAUUUACGAAAGACGAACAACUGCGAAAGCACUUGCCAAGAGUGUUUUCAUUAAUCAAGAACGAAAGUUAGAGGAUCGAAGACGAUCAGAUACCGUCCCAGUUCUAACCAUAAACGAUGUCGACUAGGGAUCAGCGGGCGUUAUCGUACGACCCCGUUGGCACCUUACGGGAAACCAAAGUUUCUGGAUUCCGGGGGAAAGUAUGGUUGCAAAGCUGAAACUUAAAAGGAAUUGAC
RNAcentral lists this ribosomal RNA (533 nucleotides) under uncultured eukaryote. Its description in RNAcentral is "SSU rRNA". It matches the Rfam family "Eukaryotic small subunit ribosomal RNA", at positions 618 to 1157 of the family's 1831-position model. The record is from RNAcentral.